RNAcentral lists this ribosomal RNA (948 nucleotides) under Phytophthora tyrrhenica. Its description in RNAcentral is "partial large subunit ribosomal RNA". It matches the Rfam family "Eukaryotic large subunit ribosomal RNA", at positions 87 to 829 of the family's 3401-position model. Lineage: Eukaryota; Oomycota; Peronosporomycetes; Peronosporales; Peronosporaceae. The record is from RNAcentral.
CGGCGAGUGACUCGGGAACAGCUCAGGCUUCAAUGCUCCGUGCGAGUUUUGCGCGGGAAAUUGUAGUCUAUAGAGGCGUGGUCAGCGUGCGCCCUCGGGGCAAGUUCCUUGGAAGAGGACAGCUCGGAGGGUGAUACUCCCGUUCAUCCCUGAAUGGAUCGUGCGUACGACCCGUGUUCUUUGAGUCGCGUUGUUUGGGAAUGCAGCGCAAAGUAGGUGGUAAAUUCCAUCUAAAGCUAAAUAUUGGUGCGAGACCGAUAGCGAACAAGUACCGUGAGGGAAAGAUGAAAAGAACUUUGAAAAGAGAGUUAAAGAGUACCUGAAACUGCUGAAAGGGAACCGAAUCGUUUCCAGUGUCUAUAAUCCGUGGCAUAUUUCAUUGGCGAGUGUGCGCGUGCGUGUGCUGUGGCAGCGGCCUUUUUGGUUGCGCUCGGUGCGUGUGCUGUGUGUGCUUGCUGGUGCCCUGUGCUGCGGUGGGACGUCAAGGUCAGUUCGUAUGCUGCGGGAAAUGGCUGCCGAGGAGGUAGGGCUUACGCUCCGCGUUUGUCUGUUAUAUCUUGGUGGACGAGUCGUCGCGGUUGGGACUGAGGUGCCUACAACGUGCUUUUGAGUGGGUCUGUGUCUCCGUGUGCGCCGUGUGCGGAUAGCUUGCUAUGCGUGUGUGGUUGUGCGUGGAUUGAUGCGGGCUUUAACUUGUCGCCGUUCGGGACGUUGACGAAAUGGAGCGAUCCGACCCGUCUUGAAACACGGACCAAGGAGUCUAACAUGUGUGCAAGUGUUAGGGUGUGGAAACCCCAGCGCGAAAUGAAAGUGAAGGGCAGCGCAAGUUGUCUGAGGUAGGAAACGUUGCGGGCUUCGGUCUGCGGCGUGGCACUAUCGACCGAUCAUGAACCUUCGUGGUGAAAGAUUUGAGUUUGAGCACAUAUGUUGGUACCCGAAAGAUGGUGA